This 1481-nucleotide long non-coding RNA is filed under the name Olea europaea (common olive). Its description in RNAcentral is "long non-coding RNA (OEUR_LNC003196)". The record is from RNAcentral. Lineage: Eukaryota; Viridiplantae; Streptophyta; Magnoliopsida; Lamiales; Oleaceae.
GAAUAUGAAUAAUUUGAUGUUAACAGGAAUUCACGCUGUCUCAGAAUAUAUAGACAGGUCAGGUAUUAUCUGCCCUUCUGCGCCUCCACAGUAAAAAGUUUGUGCUCAAAGAUAAUAUGCUUAGGAAUAUGUUAGUUAAUUCUAAAUGCUGUGAAAUUAGCAGAAUUUGGGUUUUCGUGGUUCUUCAUGAAUCCGGCUAGUUUGCUUGUGUUAGUCCCAAGGUAAUUACUUAUAAUUUAUAUCAUAAUUACAUGUAUGAUGGAUUUUCGUGGAUAUUUGGAGUCUAGGCUUAAGCAUUCUUGAGCUUACUUGGGUAGUAGAUAUCCACAUAAUUCCCAGUCAGCAUUUCUAACUCUUUUUAAAUUUUUUUGCAUUUUCUAGCCUAUUUUUCAAAAUCUAGCUCUGUUGAAUUAUCAUUAAGGAUGUUUAAAUUUAUCGUUUCGGCUUAUAUACAUGGUCAAAUGAUGCUUCUUUAUACAACUAAUACUGGAUCUUAUUGGUAAGUUGAUGGCUUGGCGUUGGAACUGGAUUUCAAAUGUCAGAAAAAUAGGACGCAAGCUGAAAAUUUAGAGGCACUGAUAUGCUUCCAUUUUUCCAUAUUAUUCAAGUCGUGUCUAAGAUAAAACUCAUAGUAUAAAGGAGUAGUUUUGAUGCUGCAUCUCUAAAAGUGGGACAUGAUUCCCUUCCAGUUCUGCCUUAAGCAAUACAUACAGAAUAAGUCGCAUGCUUCAUGUAUUGCAACCACAAUUCAAAUAAAAAUGUCAUGAAAAUCAAAUUAAAGUGCCUGAAUGCUUUUGGCUUAUUGCUGGCUUUGUAUUGACUACCUCAGGGAUUAAUUAUGCAUGCCAUAGCCGUCAGCACCUGUAGGAAAGCCAUACAAGAAUCAUCAAAUAAGGUCAUGUUUACUUGUCUGUUUGUAUGUAAAAUUUGUUGUAUAAAAUAUCUGUGCAUAUUGACGGUUAAUCUGGCAUCAAAACAUAUGCCCCAUGUCAUGCAGCAUUCAAUAUACUAAAAUGCGAAUCUAACUUAGUGGAGGAAUGCCUUGUCUCGGUGUGUGGAAGCGAUGGUGGAACUUGGAAUAGACAUAUACCAUACCUCAUGCAUUGACAUUCUCAACUUGGGAUCGCAGUCGAGACAUUGCUCUGCCAGACGAACCAUCCAAAACAACUGGUAAAGGUCAACAGAAUCUUGCACUGCAGGAUCUAUCAGUUCCAUGUACUUUUUCUCACUCAGGAUUGGUCUCGCCUGAGGAAAAAAACAGAGAUCCAUUGGGGCCCAAUGACUUGAAGAUAGAUUUCGUCCAAAGUAAAGAUUUUAGAUUAAGGAUCUUCAAAAUAAGAAUGCUGUAGUUAUUACCCAUCUCAAGAAGCUUUGCCCCUUUGUAUCUUCAAGAGUCUUUCGGCCAGUAAUCAGCUCGAGAAGAACAAUCCCAAAGGAAUAGACAUCUGCUUUGCUCAUGUCUAUUCCGCUUUGUGCAUAUU